Molecule: long non-coding RNA, 2306 nt
Filed under: Sus scrofa (pig)
Lineage: Eukaryota; Metazoa; Chordata; Mammalia; Artiodactyla; Suidae
Description: lncRNA (ENSSSCG00050023903.1)
Source: RNAcentral
AUCUACUGAAAAUGCUCCUCUGCAUGUUUAGAGAAUGAAGUGGAAAUAUUCUAAUUUAUAAACAGUUCCCACACACAUCCCUGCGAGGAUCGAAAGCUAUCAAAGGAUUAAAAUACAUGCAAUCCUACUCUUUGGUAACACUUUCUUUUUCACUCUCAUCCCCACCAUGUCAGUAGCCUAAGACCCCUUUCAACCUGUAUUUCACAUUCCUGGACAUAACUGUGUGACAAGUUGAGGGCAAGGACAUAGCCACAAAGUGAAAGAGUCACUCAGUCUGUGCUCUCACCUUUGAUUCUACAAAUGGAUUCAGGAACCGCUAUUUACUCAAUGCUUGUGUCCCCCAAACUCAUAAGUUGGACCUAAUACUCAAGGUGAUAGUGUUUUUUGGGGGUUUUUUUUGGUUGUUGCUUGGUGUUUUGUGUUUUUAGGGCUGUACCCACGGCAUAUGGAGGUUCCCAGGCAAGGGGUCCAAUCGGAGCUGUAGCUGCCAGCCUGCACCACAGCCACAGUAACUCGGGAUCCAGGCUGUGUCUGCGACCUACACCACAGCUCAUGGUAACAUUGGAUCCUCAACCCACUGAGGGAGGCCAGGGAUCGAACCCACGUCCUCAUGGGUACUAGUCGGGUUCAUUAACCACUGAGCCACGAUGGGAACUCCUCAAGGUGAUAGAAUCUUAAUGAAAAGGAUAUGAGUGAACUUAUUUGUGGAACAGAAACAGAAUCACAGACUUUGAAAACAGACUUAUGGUUACCAAAGGGGACAGGUGGGGGAGAGGAGGGACUGGGGGUUUGGAACUGGCAUAUGCACGCUGUGCUGUGUGGAGUGAAUGGCCAGUGGGGACCUGCUGAAGAGCACGGGGCACUCUACGUAAUAUUCUGUGAUAAUCUAUAUGGGAAAAGAAGCUGAAAAAGAAUAGAUGUGCGUACACGUAUAACUGAAUCACUUUGCUGCACAACAGAAACUGUCACAACAUUAUAAAUCAACUAUACUUCAAUCAAAGUUUUUAAAAAUGAAAAAAAACAAAGACAACUACCUAUAAGGAAGUGGGCCCCCGCCAGACGCCAGAUCUGCAAGCACCAUGAUCUUGGACUCUCCAUAUUUAUUUUCUCCAAACUGUGAGAAACAAAUACUGUGGCUUAUGCUACCCAGUCUGUCUGUCUGUCUGUCUGUCUGUCUCUUUCACACACACACACACACACACACACACACACACACACACACACACACACACAUUCUAAUAGCCAGAGUAGACUAAGGCAGGUUCCUACCUGCAAUAAGGCAAAAAAGCUCCCCAAACAUAUUGCUUAGCCUUCAGGAACAGGAUUAGCUAAAUGUCAAGUGACAAAAAAAUGCUUCUGUAUCAUAAAAACCACUUCCGUCAACUCCAUGAGUCACAGGUAAAAUUUUUUUUUUUUUUUUUUUUUUUUUAAUGAUUGAAAAUACAAAGAUUGUGUCUUUGCCGAAUCAAGGCCCAGGGCUGCGAUUGCCAAUGUCUCUGUGCAAGUGCCGUCUUCGUGCCCUGGGGGGAUGCUGAGGAAGCUGUGGCUGGAGCUGCUGGUAGAAGAACAUACCUGAUCCCAACCACCCUCUACACCAAGAUGCCAAUAAGAGCCAUUAUUUAUUUCCAGGGACUCUAAACGAGCCUUUUAAUGUGUUCAGACCUAGAGAGAGGCAGCUAGACUUUAUCACCAUCUUUUAGACAAGGAAAGGGAGACUCAAAGAGCUUCUGAAACUCGCCUGAGGUCACCCAGAGAGCAAGGGGCAGAGCUGGAAUCCAAACUCUCUUCUGUCUAAAGCUGAUCCUUGCCUUGCCCCAGAAUUUGCACUUCACUUUGCUCAGUACCAAAAAGAAUUUUGUCCAACUUCGAUGAUUCGAUGAACACGAUUUAUCUUCCGUCUCUCGGGUUUUCAAUAAAACGUCUGAAAUCAUUUUCUGUAGGCAAGGAGAGUCAGAUAACCUCAAUUCUAAAAUUCCUUCCAAUUAAAAAUGAAAGAAGGAAGGAAGAAUGGAAGGAAGGGAGGGAGGAAGAAAGACUUCAGUUGCUGAGCUGCCCGGGAGCUGCCUCAAAUGCAAAUUUUCGAUGCGAUUCAGUAGACCUAUGACUUCAGAUAGAAUCGAUAACAAUGACAAUGAGGUUACGGCCUGAGGUCCAAGUUCAGGAGAUUUUUUGGAGCUUUAGAGAUAGGACUGGGGGAGCGGGGUAAUCAUUGUCCAGACCAAGGCUCAGCAGGACUGUUGGCAAAAAGAGGGCCAGAGAAGGGAGAAAGAUGCCGAAUGGGAGGCCAGAAGGCCAUAAAGACAGAU